This 292-nucleotide ribosomal RNA is filed under the name uncultured bacterium. RNAcentral's name for it is "partial 16S ribosomal RNA". It matches the Rfam family "Bacterial small subunit ribosomal RNA", at positions 773 to 1060 of the family's 1533-position model. The record is from RNAcentral.
GUGGAUUAGAUACCCUGGUAGUCCUGGCAGUAAACGGUGCACACUUGGUGUGGGGGGAUUCGACCCCUCCUGUGCCGGAGCUAACGCGUUAAGUGUGCCGCCUGGGAAGUACGGUCGCAAGAUUAAAACUCAAAGAAAUUGACGGGGACCCGCACAAGCGGUGGAGUAUGUGGCUUAAUUCGAUGCAACGCGAAGAACCUUACCUGGUCUUGACAUGCAUCUUGUCUCCAGUGAAAGCUGGAUAGGGUAGCAAUACCCGAUUUGCACAGGUGCUGCACGGUUGUCGACAGCU